CGGAGGAUGCAAGCGUUAUCCGGAAUGAUUGGGCGUAAAGCGUCCGCAGGUGGCAGUUCAAGUCUGCUGUCAAAGACCGGGGCUUAACUUCGGAAAGGCAGUGGAAACUGAACAGCUAGAGUAUGGUAGGGGCAGAGGGAAUUCCUGGUGUAGCGGUGAAAUGCGUAGAUAUCUGGAGGAACACCGGUGGCGAAGGCGGCAUCCUGGACCAACACUGACGCUGAGGAGCGAAAGCCAGGGGAGCAAACGGG
RNAcentral lists this ribosomal RNA (251 nucleotides) under uncultured bacterium. Its description in RNAcentral is "partial 16S ribosomal RNA". It matches the Rfam family "Bacterial small subunit ribosomal RNA", at positions 526 to 776 of the family's 1533-position model. The record is from RNAcentral.